CAGCAGCCGCGGGAAAACCAGCACCUCGAGUGGUCAGGAGGUUUAUUGGGCCUAAAGCAUCCGUAGCCGGUUGCAUAAGUUUUCGGUUAAAUCUAUGCGCUUAACGUAUAGGCCGCCGAAAAUACUGUGCAGCUAGGGAGUGGGAGAGGUACACGGUACUCGAUAGGAAGGGGUAAAAUCCUUUGAUCUAUUGAUGACCACCUGUGGCGAAGGCGGUGUACCAGAACACGUUCGACGGUGAGGGAUGAAAGCUGGGGGAGCAAACCGGAUUAGAUACCCCGGUAGUCCCUGUCUCUUAUAC
Molecule: ribosomal RNA, 301 nt
Filed under: uncultured bacterium
Lineage: Bacteria
Description: partial 16S ribosomal RNA
Rfam family: Archaeal small subunit ribosomal RNA
Source: RNAcentral